GUGGGGAAUUUUGGACAAUGGGCGCAAGCCUGAUCCAGCAAUGCCGCGUGUGUGAAGAAGGCCUUCGGGUUGUAAAGCACUUUUGUCCGGAAAGAAAUCUCUUGGGUUAAUACCUCGGGGGGAUGACGGUACCGGAAGAAUAAGCACCGGCUAACUACGUGCCAGCAGCCGCGGUAAUACGUAGGGUGCGAGCGUUAAUCGGAAUUACUGGGCGUAAAGCGUGCGCAGGCGGCUCUGCAAGACAGAUGUGAAAGCCCCGGGCUCAACCUGGGAACUGCAUUUGUGACUGCAAGGCUAGAGUGCGUCAGAGGGAGGUGGAAUUCCGCGUGUAGCAGUGAAAUGCGUAGAGAUGCGGAGGAACACCGAUGGCGAAGGCAGCCUCCUGGGAUGACACUGACGCUCAUGCACGAAAGCGUGGGGAGCAAACAGGAUUAGAAACCCGGGUAGUCC
This 450-nucleotide ribosomal RNA is filed under the name uncultured bacterium. RNAcentral's name for it is "partial 16S ribosomal RNA". It matches the Rfam family "Bacterial small subunit ribosomal RNA", at positions 354 to 796 of the family's 1533-position model. The record is from RNAcentral.